This is a long non-coding RNA of Cyprinus carpio carpio, 681 nucleotides long. The record is from Ensembl. Lineage: Eukaryota; Metazoa; Chordata; Actinopteri; Cypriniformes; Cyprinidae.
CAGUAGAGGUUUUUUUGUGAGUGCUUCCGGAGAAUAACCUCAGACAACAGUGACAUCACUGUGGUUUCCUGUCGGCACGGCAACCGUCACCCUCGGAGGCAGAGACACGACAUGUGAGAGAUGUGAUGCUUUCUUCGCUUCACACCUCGUCCCAUCUCUCCGUCUCCGUCUCUCACCAGCUCGCUUUAGAUCUUGUUUUCAAUACGAGUUUGGAACAACAUGAGGGUGAAUAAAUAGUGACAGAUUUUCAUUACUGGAUGAACUCUCUCUAACUCAGAAGUGAGGGGCAGAAGAGGAAGAUAAACAGUGGAGGAGGAGGAUGGUGGUUGACUGAUGCCACAGACGCUUCGGCUCCAUGUCGGGGUCAGUAGCAGUUUUCAACUGGCCACUCGUAGCGUGUGAAGAGCGAACGGAAAACGCCCGGUAUAUGAGGGCAACGGUAUUAUCUGAUUGAUGAGAAAGAGCAAAAGAAAAAGAAAUCAGAUAAAGUGACUGUGGUUUUGUGUGGAGAAGUGAAGCAGGUUUUGGCUUGUUUGGUGACUGUCUGUCAGUCAGAUAACAUGUGACCCCUCAUCCACUUACACACAUUCAUCUAUAUUCAAAAUAUAUUAGAACAUUUAUUUUGCUUAAAGACAACAAUGAUUCCUUUUUUUAGAACCAUUUUUGUUUGUAAUAAAAAAA